GUGCCCAGCGUAUGUCUAUAGCGGUCGUCAUGUUAUAGAACAGCGCGUGCUUUACAGCGACUGCGAAGAGCUCUUCGAAGGUCGUGGCGGCGGUCCAGAAUGGGAGGCGAAUUCCAGACGCACGCAGGGUCUCGCAUAUAUUAGACGGAUCGACAGUCUUCUUUUUUUAUGUAAGCAAACUCCUAUGACGUCGUUGGUUUUGGAAUGUUUCACCAUAAGAUAUGUCAGGCGAGAGUGCGCGUAAAAA
Molecule: long non-coding RNA, 247 nt
Organism: Dermacentor albipictus
Lineage: Eukaryota; Metazoa; Arthropoda; Arachnida; Ixodida; Ixodidae
Source: RefSeq, a predicted model, not a curated record